This 460-nucleotide ribosomal RNA is filed under the name uncultured bacterium. Its description in RNAcentral is "partial 16S ribosomal RNA". It matches the Rfam family "Bacterial small subunit ribosomal RNA", at positions 338 to 795 of the family's 1533-position model. The record is from RNAcentral.
CCUACGGGCGGCAGCAGUGAGGAAUAUUGGUCAAUGGACGAGAGUCUGAACCAGCCAAGUAGCGUGAAGGAUGACUGCCCUCUGGGUUGUAAACUUCUUUUAUAUGGGAAUAAAAUGUUCCACGUGUGGGAUUUUGUAUGUACCAUAUGAAUAAGGAUCGGCUAACUCCGUGACAGCAGCCGCGGUAAUACGGAGGGUCCGGGCGUUAUCCGGAUUUAUUGGGUUUAAAGGGAGCGUAGGUGGAUUGUUAAGUCAGUUGUGAAAGUUUGCGGCUCAAACGUAAAAUUGCAGUUGAAACUGGCAGUCUUGAGUGCAGUAGAGGUGGGCGGAAUUCGUGGUGUAGCGGUGAAAUGCUUAGAUAUAACGAAGAACUCCGAUUGCGAAGGCAGCUCACUGGACUGCAACUGACACUGAGGCUCGAAAGUGUGGGGAUCAAACAGGAUUAGAUACCCUUGUAGUC